RNAcentral lists this unclassified non-coding RNA (302 nucleotides) under uncultured fungus. Its description in RNAcentral is "partial contains 5.8S ribosomal RNA and internal transcribed spacer 2". The stretch from base 1 to 133 matches the Rfam family "5.8S ribosomal RNA", at positions 22 to 154 of the family's 154-position model. Lineage: Eukaryota; Fungi. The record is from RNAcentral.
UGGUUCUGGCAUCGAUGAAGAACGCAGCGAAAUGCGAAAAGUAAUGCGAAUUGCAGAAUUCCGUGAGUCAUCGAAUCUUUGAACGCACAUUGCGCCCCCUGGUAUUCCGGAGGGCAUGCCUGUCCGAGCGUCAUUAUCUGUGUCAAGCCUGGCUUGUCGUUGGGUCGACCGCCUGGUCCUCCCGAAAAACAGCGGCGGCACCGCUUUGGUCGCAAUGCAACGAGCUUCGGCACGCGUUCCGGCUGUGGUGGUCCGCCUACCUCCUCUCAGUUGACCUCGGAUCAGACAGGAUUACCCGCUGA